RNAcentral lists this ribosomal RNA (492 nucleotides) under uncultured bacterium. Its description in RNAcentral is "partial 16S ribosomal RNA". It matches the Rfam family "Bacterial small subunit ribosomal RNA", at positions 29 to 507 of the family's 1533-position model. The record is from RNAcentral.
AGUGAACGCUGGCGGUAGGCCUAACACAUGCAAGUCGAACGGCCGCACAGUAAGCGCUUGCUCUUACGGGUGGCGAGUGGCGGACGGGUGAGGCAUACAUCGCAAUCUUCUUUUUCGUGGGGGAUAACGUAGGGCAACUUACGCUACUACCGCAUACGACCUACGGGUGAAAGCAGUGGAUCUUCGCACCUUGCGCGAUUGAAUGAGCCGAUGUCGCAUUAGCUAGUUGGCGAGGUAAAGGCCCACCAAGGCGACGAUCCGUAGCUGGUCUGAGAGGAUGAUCAGCCACACUGGAACUGAGACACGGUCCAGACUCCUACGGGAGGCAGCAGUGGGGAAUAUUGGACAAUGGGCGCAAGCCUGAUGCAGCCAUGCCGCGUGGGUGAAGAAGGCCCUCGGGUCGUAAAGCCCUUUUGUUGGGAAAGAAAAGCAGCAGGUGAAUACCCCGCUGUUCUGACGGUACCCAAAGAGUAAGCACCGGCUAACUUCGUG